This 140-nucleotide ribosomal RNA is filed under the name uncultured bacterium. RNAcentral's name for it is "partial 16S ribosomal RNA". It matches the Rfam family "Bacterial small subunit ribosomal RNA", at positions 355 to 509 of the family's 1533-position model. The record is from RNAcentral.
UGGGGAAUAUUGGGCAAUGGACGCAAGUCUGACCCAGCAACGCCGCGUGAAGGAAGAAGGCUUUCGGGUUGUAAACUUCUUUUAAGGGGGAAGGAGCAGAAGACGGUACCCCUUGAAUAAGCCACGGCUAACUACGUGCC